RNAcentral lists this unclassified non-coding RNA (263 nucleotides) under plant metagenome. Its description in RNAcentral is "partial contains small subunit ribosomal RNA, internal transcribed spacer 1, and 5.8S ribosomal RNA". The record is from RNAcentral.
UUUCCGUAGGUGAACCUGCGGAAGGAUCAUUAUUGUAUAACCGAGGUGCGAGGGCUGUCGCUGACCCGAAAGGUCGUGCACGCCCGAGUGCCCUCACACACAUCCAUGUCACCCCUAUGUGCACCACCGCGUGGGUCCCCCUUUGGCUUGUUCGGAGGGGGGCUUACGUUUUCACACAAACUUUGUAUGCAGUGUAGAAUGUAUUUUUUGUUUUUGCGAUCACGCAAUCAAUACAACUUUCAACAACGGAUCUCUUGGCUCUC